CAGACACCUGUCCCGUGGUGGCAGGUGGAAGGCCAAGUAUAUGAGCACAAUAGCAGCCUUUCUUGCAAUUGUGGUAGGCCAUGUGACUCAUUCUGGCUGAUGGACUCUGAGUGGAAAUGUCAUGUGUCACUUCUGGGCUGAGGCAGUCACGAGCUGGUAUGUCUCAUCCAUCUCUCUCUUCCUCUACCGUUGAAUCUUGCAAACCACCAGAUCCAGAAGGAAAAGCUACAGGGUGAAAGUGGUGCCUGAUCUUCAAUGAACUUUACAUGUUUGACGAAUAAAACUCAUGGUUAAGCUAGUGAGACUUAUGGCUUUUCUGUUGCAGCAGUUAGCAUUAUUUAUCCUGAUUAAUCCACCCAUCUAAAAUAUUUCCGCAU
RNAcentral lists this long non-coding RNA (377 nucleotides) under Homo sapiens (human). Its description in RNAcentral is "HSALNT0264606". The record is from RNAcentral. Lineage: Eukaryota; Metazoa; Chordata; Mammalia; Primates; Hominidae.